RNAcentral lists this ribosomal RNA (252 nucleotides) under uncultured bacterium. RNAcentral describes it as "partial 16S ribosomal RNA". It matches the Rfam family "Bacterial small subunit ribosomal RNA", at positions 524 to 775 of the family's 1533-position model. The record is from RNAcentral.
GACAGAGGUGCCGAGCGUUAGGCGGAAUCACUGGGCUUAAAGCGUGUGUAGGCGGGUCGUUAAGUACCUUGUGAAAUCCCAUGGCUCAACCAUGGAACGGCUGGGUAUACUGGCGAUCUUGAGCGAUCUAGGGGCAGAUGGAACAAGUGGUGGAGCGGUGAAAUGCGUAGAUAUCACUUGGAACGCCAAAGGUGAAGACAGUCUGCUGGGGAUCUGCUGACGCUGAGACACGAAAGCCAGGGGAGCGAACGG